GAUGAACGCUGGCGGCGUGCCUAAUACAUGCAAGUCGAGCAAACGGACGAGAAGCUUGCUUCUCUGAUGUUAGCGGCGGACGGGUGAGUAACACGUGGAUAACCUACCUAUAAGACUGGGAUAACUUCGGGAAACCGGAGCUAAUACCGGAUAAUAUUUUGAACCGCAUGGUUCAAAAGUGAAAGACGGUCUUGCUGUCACUUAUAGAUGGAUCCGCGCUGCAUUAGCUAGUUGGUAAGGUAACGGCUUACCAAGGCAACGAUGCAUAGCCGACCUGAGAGGGUGAUCGGCCGCACUGGAACUGAGACACGGUCCAGACUCCUACGGGAGGCAGCAGUAGGGAAUCUUCCGCAAUGGGCGAAAGCCUGACGGAGCAACGCCGCGUGAGUGAUGAAGGUCUUCGGAUCGUAAAACUCUGUUAUUAGGGAAGAACAUAUGUGUAAGUAACUGUGCACAUCUUGACGGUACCUAAUCAGAAAGCCACGGCUAACUACGUG
RNAcentral lists this ribosomal RNA (497 nucleotides) under uncultured bacterium. RNAcentral describes it as "partial 16S ribosomal RNA". It matches the Rfam family "Bacterial small subunit ribosomal RNA", at positions 28 to 507 of the family's 1533-position model. The record is from RNAcentral.